AGGUCCGUAGCUAAGUCAGGUUCAAAGCAACCGCCUUUUAAGUGGUGGAUCGUGGGUUCAAAUCCCACCGGACCUACCA
This 79-nucleotide transfer RNA is filed under the name Acidobacteriota bacterium. RNAcentral's name for it is "tRNA-Lys". It matches the Rfam family "tRNA". From Rfam's summary of the family: Transfer RNA (tRNA) molecules are approximately 80 nucleotides in length. Their secondary structure includes four short double-helical elements and three loops (D, anti-codon, and T loops). Lineage: Bacteria; Pseudomonadati; Acidobacteriota. The record is from RNAcentral.